Long non-coding RNA from Mustela putorius furo (domestic ferret), 1782 nucleotides. The record is from Ensembl. NCBI's taxonomy places the organism in Eukaryota, Metazoa, Chordata, Mammalia, Carnivora, Mustelidae.
GGGCAUCCUUUCAUGACAGCUAAAGAAAAACCGCUGACGUUUAAAGAGAUGUGUAAUGAGGUCCCAAAUCUAUUCACCCUGGUGUUAAAAAAAAGUGUGUGUUGGGGCACCUAGGUGGCUAAGUUAAGCAUCUGACUCUUGGUUUUGGCCCAGGUCAUGAUCUCAGGGUCCUGGGAUUGAGCCCUGAGUCGCUGCUCAGUGGGGAGUCUGCUUGAGGGUCUCUCUCUCCCUCUGACACCCCCCAAUCUAUGUGCAUGUGCUCUCUCUCUCCCAAAUAAAUAAAAAAGGGUUUUAUUUAUUUAUUUGAGAGAGAGAGAGCCAAAGAGCACAAGCAGGGAGAGUAGCAAGGGGAGAGGGAGAAGCAGGCUUCCUGCAGGGCGGGGACUCCACCCAGGGCCUUGGGAUCCUGACCUGAGCUGAAGGCAGACGCUUAACUGUCUGGGCCACCCAGGUGCCCCAGUGCAUAAAUCUUUAGAAAAAAAGUUUAUCUUAACAGUAUCUGCUUCAAGUGCUAGAGGAGAAUACGAGUUGUUUUUUGCUUUUUGUUUUGUUUUGUAUUGCAGUGAAUUCCUGCUUCCUAUGAGACAAGAGAAAAGUGAUAUUUAUUGAGCCUCUACCUAUUAAAUGCCAGGCAUGGCGCUAGGGGCUUACCGGCGCUGUGGGCCUCCAGAGAUGCCAUCCCUGCCUCUGAAGGGGGCAUCCCAGGGACGUGCACAGCCCACAGGAUACCCUGCCUGGGGAGUUGACCAACACAGAGAGAAAACUCACCCUCUCCUGGGAGGUGAAGACUAUAGGACAGGCUCAGACACUACGCGAGGACUUCUGAAGAGAGAAGCACACAGUAAGCUGGGACAGUGGGGUAGAGAGAGUUCCUCUAGGGAGAUGAGAGUGGGAUUUGACUUGGGGGUGGGCGACAGCUAAAAGGGUGACAGGGGGAUAGUUCGGGGAGCUGGGGCGCUCUGAGCCCUCAGGGCCCUAGUGGGAGAGAGCCCAGGACACAUCUGGGGGGGGGGAUGGUAGGUCGGUCUUCAUCUUCUGAUAUAGAGGCUUCAUGGACAAGAGCAACAGAAGGGGAAGGGGCAGUGUUUCUGCCUUGACAUGCUCGUACACCCCAGGUCCUGCCCUCACAGAAUUGACCGCUUAGUAGGGUAGACGGAAGGAGGUGGAGGGAAGGUGGAGACAGACAAAGUGGAGGAGAAUGAAUGAGUAUGAAUCCAAAGGUAGAGAACAGAUCAGGUGCCGGAGGAAAAUUGUGAAAACGGGAAAGAGAAAGCAGGAAAAAAAGCUUCGAGAAGGAAGCACCCUUUCAUUGUGUCUCAAAGGAAGGGUAGGAUUUAAACAAGUGGGAAGGAAGGGAACUGCCUCUGAGACCGUGGCGGGUGGGAUGGGGUGUGCUUGGGACCAUCAGGAAAUCUGGUUCCUCGGAAGCACAGAGGAAGGGAAGGGCAUUGUGGAAUAAAGACAGUGGGAGAGGUUUGCCCCUGUGCCUGCUCCAAGGACGGGCUGAGGAACAAACUUUAAAGUUCCUUAUUUCCCCGGGGAUGAAGUUCCUGAAAGGAGGGACAGAACCAGAGUAGAGUCUACUCUGAGAUAGGACUGUUUUUCAGCUCACGGUGUAGGCAAGUUGGGGGCCCCUGCUCUCACGUGAUGGUGUGUGCGGAGACGUCACCACCAGUGGUGACUCGGUCACUGUGUGUUCCGGUCAGACAGACUUGGUGCGAAUCCUGGCUGCACCCCUCUUAACUCCGCGAUCUUGAAACAAAUUACCAUCCUUCCCUAAGC